AAGUCAUAACAAGGUUUCCGUAGGUGAACCUGCGGAAGGAUCAUUAAUAGUGCUCUUUGAUGCAAAUCAUUGAGUUAGAUCUGCUCUCCUCGCAAGAGGAGGGUUUCCAUACACACCGUGAACUGUGGCUUCGGCCAUCACAAACUGUUAGUAAUGAAUGUAAUAUCAUAACAAAAACAAAACUUUUAACAACGGAUCUCUUGGCUCUC
Molecule: unclassified non-coding RNA, 209 nt
Filed under: Vishniacozyma victoriae
Lineage: Eukaryota; Fungi; Basidiomycota; Tremellomycetes; Tremellales; Bulleribasidiaceae
Also listed under: 1 other name
Description: partial internal transcribed spacer region
Rfam family: Eukaryotic small subunit ribosomal RNA (bases 1-46)
Source: RNAcentral